RNAcentral lists this unclassified non-coding RNA (370 nucleotides) under Melitaea cinxia (Glanville fritillary). RNAcentral's name for it is "misc RNA ENSMCXG00005000113.1". Lineage: Eukaryota; Metazoa; Arthropoda; Insecta; Lepidoptera; Nymphalidae. The record is from RNAcentral.
GGGAGAUCGUUACAGAAUUCGUCUAGAGAUAAUUCCGUUAUAUUCGUUUCAGUUUUAAACGGGACUAUAAGUUGCUUUUAUAUUAUACAGCGAGGGAGGUAAUAUUCCAAACAGCGGGAAAUACGUAUCUACUUAUUUUUAUAAAAAGGAAAAAUGUUUAGAUCCUCAACAUCGACUGACCGAAAGUCUACGACUAUGAAGGAAUUCCUUAGAGUUGGCUAUGCAGGAAAAUUAUUUAGCCAAGAACUCCUCGAGUUAGGGCCAAUAGGGCAAAUGACUCCACCCAGGCUGAGACUGAUGUCGAACCUGCAAGACCAUGCUUUAAACGCUUAAAAAUAUGGCAGCAUAUGGUGGCACAGGCGGUUUGCAG